UCUCCGUUGGUGAACCAGCGGAGGGAUCAUUACCGAAGUUACCUUCAAAACCCACUGUGAACCUUACCUCUUGCCGCGUUGUCUCGGCGGGAGGCGGUGUGCGUCGCGCGCCCUAGCGGGCCGCGCCGCUCCCGUCCCCACCGGCAGCGCCAAACUCUAAAUGCACAGCGGACUGUACGUUCUGAUUUACAAAAAAAACAAGUUAAAACUUUCAACAACGGAUCUCUUGGUUCUG
RNAcentral lists this unclassified non-coding RNA (235 nucleotides) under plant metagenome. RNAcentral describes it as "partial contains small subunit ribosomal RNA, internal transcribed spacer 1, and 5.8S ribosomal RNA". The record is from RNAcentral.